UACGUAGGGCGCAAGCGUUGUCCGGAAUUAUUGGGCGUAAAGAGCUCGUAGGCGGCCAGUUGCGUCCGCUGUGAAAUCCUGGGGCUUAACCCCGGGCGUGCAGUGGAUACGGGCUGGCUAGAGGCAGGCAGGGGAGAACGGAAUUCCCGGUGUAGCGGUGAAAUGCGCAGAUAUCGGGAGGAACACCGGUGGCGAAGGCGGUUCUCUGGGCCUGGACUGACGCUGAGGAGCGAAAGCGUGGGGAGCGAACAGG
Molecule: ribosomal RNA, 253 nt
Filed under: uncultured bacterium
Lineage: Bacteria
Description: partial 16S ribosomal RNA
Rfam family: Bacterial small subunit ribosomal RNA
Source: RNAcentral